This is a long non-coding RNA of Callithrix jacchus (white-tufted-ear marmoset), 855 nucleotides long. RefSeq lists it as uncharacterized. The record is from RefSeq and is a predicted model, not a curated record. Lineage: Eukaryota; Metazoa; Chordata; Mammalia; Primates; Cebidae.
ACUAUAUAUUUCCAUCACUAGCUUUUAGCCUGGGUUAAAUGCAGUCCACGUAUUGUUGGGGGUAACCAUGAAAAAACUGCAAUCUUUCAGCCUGGGAACCAUAAGAAUGAAGUCAGGAAACUGUGUCCACUGAAAAGAGUCGGGGAAUCUUGGGAAAGAAAGAACUAGAGAAGGGAUUCCAAAACAUUUUUCCACCCAAAUCAUUUACUGACCCCUAAACCAUGCUUAUAGGUUUCAAGAAUAGUAUCAUUAUCCUUUCCAGGUACUACCCCAUGUCUGUCUUCUUUAAAUGGCAUCUCCUGAAAGCAUGCUGUCUUUUUCAGCCUGUUUCUAUGAAGAGGAAAGCACCACAUGUGUAGAAUACCAUGCUGAGACCUUUAUCACAAGGCAGAACCCAGAGGACUCAGAGAGGCAAGGAAGUCAGUAAGCUUGCAGGUCAUACCCUACAGGAGGCAUAAAAAUCACUAGGCAAAGUCCAUUCAUGUGCUAGCUGUAUUUAAAAAACAACAGUGAACAGAAAGCAAAAUUAACCCAGUAUACCAUGAACCAAGGAAUCACAACAACAAAGAAAGUAACAGCUAUACUGCUGGAAGACCAGAAAGGCGUCUUCAGGAUUUAUAAAAUCCUCUGAAACAUGUUGUUUCCAGAUGUAGGUCCCAAGUGCCCCAUCAUUUACUUCCUGUCCAAGCACUGAGCAGAUGGAAUUACACAAGUUGGGCUGUAUGAAACCACCCUCCAAUGCCUUCGUUAAACUCCAGGAUUUUAAAGAGUCUGUCUAGUUCCUGGCAGGGACCUUUCCAUACUUCCACCCCCAAAGCUGUAAAUUAUUACCUCAUUAAACUCAAUUGUAAAUGA